Molecule: long non-coding RNA, 1286 nt
Filed under: Nicotiana tabacum (common tobacco)
Lineage: Eukaryota; Viridiplantae; Streptophyta; Magnoliopsida; Solanales; Solanaceae
Description: long non-coding RNA (NTAB_LNC007595)
Source: RNAcentral
UUCGAUAAGUUCGAAAUAAUACACUUUAAUGCCUGGGGCCUACGCAAAAAAGAGAAGAGUUCGACCUCGAUCGAACGAUGACGGGUUACUAUUUCGAUAAGUUCGAAAUAACACCCUUUUAGGCCAAGGUACUUCGCCAAAAAGAGAAGAGUUCGACCUCAAUCGAACGACGACGGGUUACUAUUUUGAUAAAGUUUGAAAUAAUACCCUUUAAUGCCUAGGGCCUACGCAAAAAAGAGAACAGUUCGACAUCGAUCGAACGAUGACGGGUUACUAUUUCGAUAAGUUCGAAAUAACACCCUUUAAGGCCAAGGGCCUUCGCCAAAAAGAGAAGAGUUCGACCUCAAUCGAACGAUGACGGGUUACUAUUUCGAUAAAGUUCGAAAUAACACCCUUUAAGGCCAAGAGCCUUCGCCAAAAAGAGAAAAGUUCGACCUCAAUUGAACGACGAUGGGUUACUAUUUCGAUAAGUUCGAAAUAAUACACUUUAAUGCCUGGGGCCUACGCAAAAAAGAGAAGAGUUUGACCUCGAUCCAACGAUGACGGGUUACUAUUUCGAUAAGUUUGAAAUAACACUCUUUUAGGCCAAGGGCAUUCGCCAAAAAGAGAAGAGUUCGACCUCAAUUGAACGACGAUGGGUUACUAUUUCGAUAAGUUCGAAAUAACAGCUUUUAAGGCCUAGGGCAUUCGCCAAAAAGAAAGAAGUUCGACCACGAUCGAAUGACGACGGGUUACUAUUUCGAUAAGUUCGAAAUAACACCCUUUUAGGCCAAGGUCCUUCGCCAAAAAGAGAAGAGUUCGACCUCAAUCGAACGAUGACGGGUUACUAUUUUGAUAAGUUCGAAAUAACACACUUUUAGGCCAAGGGCCUUCGCCAAAAAGAGAAGAGUUUGACCUCGAUCGAACGACGACGGGUUACUAUUUCGAUAAGUUCGAAAUAACAGCUUUUAAGGCCUAGGGCCUUCGCCAAAAAGAAAGGAGUUCGACCACGAUUGAACGACGACAGGUUACUAUUUCGAUAAGUUCGAAAUAACACCUUGUAAGGCCAAGGUCCUUCGCUAAAAAGAGAAGAGUUCGACCUCGAUUGAACGACGACGGGUUACUAUUUCGAUAAAGUUUGAAAUAAUACACUUUAAUGCCUGGGGCCUACGCAAAAAAGAGAAGAGUUCGACCUCGAUCGAACGAUGAUGGGCUACUAUUUCGAUAAGUUCGAAAUAACACCCUUUAAGGCCAAGGGCCUUCGCCAAUAAGAGAAGAGUUCGACCUCGAUCAAAUGACGACGGGUU